GACGAACGCUGGCGGCGUGCUUAACACAUGCAAGUCGAGCGGUAAGGCCCUUCGGGGUACACGAGCGGCGAACGGGUGAGUAACACGUGGGUGAUCUGCCUCGCACUUCGGGAUAAGCCUGGGAAACUGGGUCUAAUACCGGAUAUGACUUGCUGUCGCAUGGCGGUGGGUGGAAAGAUUUAUCGGUGCGAGAUGGGCCCGCGGCCUAUCAGCUUGUUGGUGGGGUAAUGGCCUACCAAGGCGACGACGGGUAGCCGACCUGAGAGGGUGACCGGCCACACUGGGACUGAGACACGGCCCAGACUCCUACGGGAGGCAGCAGUGGGGAAUAUUGCACAAUGGGCGAAAGCCUGAUGCAGCGACGCCGCGUGAGGGAUGACGGCCUUCGGGUUGUAAACCUCUUUCGACAGGGACGAAGCGCAAGUGACGGUACCUGUAGAAGAAGCACCGGCCAACUACGUG
This 462-nucleotide ribosomal RNA is filed under the name Nocardia gamkensis. RNAcentral describes it as "bacterial SSU rRNA". It matches the Rfam family "Bacterial small subunit ribosomal RNA", at positions 28 to 507 of the family's 1533-position model. Lineage: Bacteria; Bacillati; Actinomycetota; Actinomycetes; Mycobacteriales; Nocardiaceae. The record is from RNAcentral.